UACGUAGGUGGCAAGCGUUGUCCGGAUUUAUUGGGUUUAAAGGGUGCGUAGGCGGUCAUAUAAGUCAGCGGUGAAAUCCGGCAGCUCAACUGUCGAUGUGCCAUUGAUGCUGUAUGACUUGAGUACUGAUGAGGUAGGCGGAAUUGACGGUGUAGCGGUGAAAUGCUUAUAUAUCGUCAAGAACACCGAUAGUGAAGGCAGCUUACUACGCAGUAACUGACGCUGAGGCACGAAAGUGUGGGGAUCAAACAGG
RNAcentral lists this ribosomal RNA (253 nucleotides) under uncultured bacterium. Its description in RNAcentral is "partial 16S ribosomal RNA". It matches the Rfam family "Bacterial small subunit ribosomal RNA", at positions 524 to 776 of the family's 1533-position model. The record is from RNAcentral.